GUCGUAACAAGGUUUCCGUAGGUGAACCUGCGGAAGGAUCAUUACAAAUCCCUUUGAUUGGUGUUUAUUUGUGGAGAGUAUUAUUAGUAUUUUCCAUGGGUAGAUGUCAACACAUGUGCUCUUGGCCAAAGAGUGUUUUUUUCGAAAUAUCUCUCUUUGGACAGGUGACAUUAACGCUUGUGGUGUUUGACAGAGUUUUAUUAUAAUGUAAAAAAGACAACUUUUAACAAUGGAUCUCUUGGCUCUUGCAACGAUGAAGAACGCAGUAAAGUGCGAUAUGUAGUGCGAUUUGCAUGAAUCUGUGAGUCAUCUAAUCUUUGAACGCAACUUGCACCCAUUCGUGGGUAUGACUGUUUGAGUGCCGAUUCUCUAUACCUAUUUAGAUGCUUGGUGUAUGAAUUUCAUAUAUCAGUGUCUGGAUGGUGACUUGAAAGUAUAUCUGUGAUUAAUUCUUGUAAUUAUUCUCUAGAGAUUCUUUUUGAACAAAGCACGCUCGGCUUUAGUUGAAAGCUGUUUCAUGGGAUAGAGACUAUUGUCUUUUUCAUCAAACACUUUUUACAAGGCUCGUCUUUUUAAAACAAAGACUUUUACAUCAGGGUCUCAAAUCAGUCAAGAUUACCCGCUGAACUUAAGCAUAUCAGUAAGCGGAGGAAAAGAAACUAACAAGGAUUCCCCUAGUAACGGCGAGUGAAGCGGGAAUAGCUCAAAUUUGUAAUCUCGCGGUCCCCGUCGCGAAUUGUAAUCUAAAGAGGGUAAUCUAUGUGUGCGUGGUCGACAAAGUCCCUUGGAAUAGGGCGCCAAAGAGGGUGAGAGCCCCGUAAAAUCGAUCACAAUCACAGUAAUGAGAACCUUUCAAAGAGUCGAGUUGUUUGGGAAUGCAGCUCAAAAAGGGUGGUAAAUCUCAUCCAAGGCUAAAUAUUGGCAAGAGACCGAUAGCGAACAAGUACCGUGAGGGAAAGAUGAAAAGCACCUUGAAAAGGGAGUUAAAUAGUACGUGAAAUUGUUAAAAGGGAAACGAUUGAGACCAGUAUUGAGAUUUGGGAGGAAAGCAGGAGAUUUCGGUCUCUUGUGAUCACCAUGCUCGAGUCAAUAUUGAUUGUGUUUGCUGGAUAAGCAUUGGUGGAAGGUGGUGUCAUUUUUCGAAAUGGCUCUUUAUAGACACUGAUUGUUGCAGUCGACGCGAUCUGAAAUGGGUGUUUUUGAUUGUUUUGUGAUCAUGCUGGCAAGCCUCUGCACGACAUGUCGAGCAAGGGCCCAACAGCAAGCGAGCAAAAUAAAAAAAUUCAUCCAAAUUGACGAAAUGGUCUUUAACGAC
Molecule: ribosomal RNA, 1315 nt
Filed under: uncultured fungus
Lineage: Eukaryota; Fungi
Description: eukaryotic LSU rRNA
Rfam family: Eukaryotic large subunit ribosomal RNA (bases 596-1315)
Source: RNAcentral